ACUGAACGCUGGCGGAAUGCUUUACACAUGCAAGUCGAGCGGCAGCGCGGGGCAACCUGGCGGCGAGCGGCGAACGGGGGAGUAAUGCAUCUGAAAAUGUCCAUGUCGUGGGGGAUAGCCCGUCGAAAGCCGGACUAAUACCGUAUACGCCCGAGAGGGGAAAGUGGGGGACCGCAAGGCACCCCGCGAGUGGGUUGGCCGAUGUCCGAUUAGCUUGUUGGUGAGGUAAAGGCUUACCAAGGCGAUGAUCGGUAGCUGGUCUGAGAGGAUGAUCAGCCACACUGGGACUGAGACACGGCCCAGACUCCUACGGGAGGCAGCAGUGGGGAAUUUUGGACAAUGGGGGCAACCCUGAUCCAGCCAUUCCGCGUGAGUGAAGAAGGCCUUCGGGUUGUAAAGCUCUUUUGUCCGGAGCGAAACGGUGGCGGUGAAUAUCCGCCACUACUGACGGUACCGGAAGAAUAAGCACCGGCUAACUUCGUGCCAGCAGCCGCCGUAA
Molecule: ribosomal RNA, 499 nt
Filed under: uncultured bacterium
Lineage: Bacteria
Description: partial 16S ribosomal RNA
Rfam family: Bacterial small subunit ribosomal RNA
Source: RNAcentral